GACGAACCGUGCGAACGUUGUUCGGAAUCACUGGGCUUAAAGGGCGCGUAGGCGGGCUGACAAGUCUGGGGUGAAAUCCCGCGGCUCAACCGUGGAACUGCCUUAGAUACUGUCGGCCUCGAGGAAGGUAGGGGCAUGCGGAACUGUAGGUGGAGCGGUGAAAUGCGUUGAUAUCUACAGGAACGCCGGUGGCGAAAGCGGCGUGCUGGACCUUUUCUGACGCUGAGGCGCGAAAGCUAGGGGAGCAAACGGG
This 253-nucleotide ribosomal RNA is filed under the name uncultured bacterium. RNAcentral's name for it is "partial 16S ribosomal RNA". It matches the Rfam family "Bacterial small subunit ribosomal RNA", at positions 524 to 776 of the family's 1533-position model. The record is from RNAcentral.